CCGUCCACGCUGGCGGCGUGCCUUUACUGCCCCUCGAGCGGAUUGCAGGGAGCUUGCUCCCUGAUAUUAGCGGCGGACGGGUGAGUAACCCGUGGGCAACCUGCCCUGCGGAUGGGGAUAACUCCGGGAAACCGGGGCUAAUACCGAAUAAUCGGUUCUUCCGCAUGGAAAAACUCUGAAAUACGGUUUCCGCUGUCGCUGCUUGAUGGGCCCGCGCCGCAUUAGCUACUUGGUGGGGUAACGGCCUACCCAGGCGACGAUGCGUACCCGACCUGAGAGGGUGAUCGGCCACACUGGGACUGAGACCCGGCCCAGACUCCUACGGGAGGCACCACUACGGAAUCUUCCACAUUGGACGAAAGUCUGAUGGAGCAACGCCCCGUGAGCUAAUAAGGUUUUCGGAUCGUAAAGCUCUGUUGCGAGGGAAUAACCCCUACGGGAGUAACUGCCCGCACCUUGACGGUACCUCGUCCUGUGCCACGGCUAACUACGUGCCAGCAGCCGCGGUAAUACGUAGGUGGGGAAGCGUUGUCACGAGUUAUUGGGCUUAAAGCGCCCGCAAGUUAUCCUUUAAGGUCUGACGUGAAGAGCCCACGGCUCCACCCGUGGAGGUUUUAUGGUAAAUUGGGGGACGUGGUUUCCAAAGAGGGAAAUUGUAUUUCUCUUUGUCUCCACUUAAAAU
Molecule: ribosomal RNA, 682 nt
Filed under: Brevibacillus sp. RS802
Lineage: Bacteria; Bacillati; Bacillota; Bacilli; Caryophanales; Paenibacillaceae
Description: bacterial SSU rRNA
Rfam family: Bacterial small subunit ribosomal RNA
Source: RNAcentral